RNAcentral lists this unclassified non-coding RNA (331 nucleotides) under soil metagenome. Its description in RNAcentral is "partial contains 5.8S ribosomal RNA, internal transcribed spacer 2, and large subunit ribosomal RNA". The stretch from base 1 to 120 matches the Rfam family "5.8S ribosomal RNA", at positions 35 to 154 of the family's 154-position model. The record is from RNAcentral.
GAUGAAGAACGUAGCAAAAUGCGAUAAGUAAUGUGAAUUGCAGAAUUCAGUGAAUCAUCGAAUCUUUGAACGCACAUUGCGCCCGCCAGUAUUCUGGCGGGCAUGCCUGUUCGAGCGUCAUUUCAACCCUCAAGCACAGCUUGGUGUUGGGACUCGCGUUAAUUCGCGUUCCUCAAAUUGAUUGGCGGUCACGUCGAGCUUCCAUAGCGUAGUAGUAAAACCCUCGUUACUGGUAAUCGUCGCGGCCACGCCGUUAAACCCCAACUUCUGAAUGUUGACCUCGGAUCAGGUAGGAAUACCCGCUGAACUUAAGCAUAUAAUAAGCGGAGGA